UGCUCAGUCAGUGAAUGUCUCUCAUCCAGGAUGAACGUGCCGCUCUCUCUCUCUCUCUGGUUUGUUCUGCUAACGUCAACCUGCUGUGGAGGUGAUGAGUCGUCGACCACAGAUUAUUAUUAUGAUGAUAAUCCCACAGCGACGCCAGAUUAUGACUACAAUGCUACGUUUGACUACUACUUUGCCAACUGUAGCGUUAGUGGUGACUGCGUCAUCAGUGCAGUUUCAGACAUCGACAACGCGGCUGCAGCCAUUGGUCAGUUGACCUCUCUGAUCCCACUAGGAUUGGCUGUCGCUCACAUGUGCAACUGAUGGAGUGGGCGGAGUCAGAGAUCACAGGUAUGUGACCUGUGAUCUCUGAACACCUUCAGGACCAAACUACCAGCUGAUCAAUAACUGAUCACCAAUACCUUCAUGUGGUCGAUUAUUCGAUAUUUUUUUUUUUUGUUCAAUAACUUUUAUAAUACAAUAAAGAUUCAAUAACUGAUUAGUUGUUAGUAACCAUGGUAACAGACAUGUUUUGUUUCCUGUGUAAUAAAUGAUUCUCCUGCCACA
Molecule: long non-coding RNA, 555 nt
Organism: Solea solea (common sole)
Lineage: Eukaryota; Metazoa; Chordata; Actinopteri; Pleuronectiformes; Soleidae
Exons: 4
Source: RefSeq, a predicted model, not a curated record